AUUGAACGCUGGCGGCAGGCCUAACACAUGCAAGUCGAAUGGUAACAGGAAACAGCUUGCUGUUUCGCUGACGAGUGGCGGACGGGUGAGUAAUGUCUGGGAAACUGCCUGAUGGAGGGGGAUAACUACUGGAAACGGUAGCUAAUACCGCAUAACGUCGCAAGACCAAAGAUGGGGACCUUCGGGCCUCUUUCCAUCAGAUGUUCCCAGGUGGGAUUAGCUAGUAGGUGGGGUAACGGCUCACCUAGGCGACGAUCCCUAGCUGGUCUGAGAGGAUGACCAGCCACACUGGAACUGAGACACGGUCCAGACUCCUACGGGAGGCAGCAGUGGGGAAUAUUGCACAAUGGGCGCAAGCCUGAUGCAGCCAUGCCGCGUGUAUGAAGAAGGCCUUCGGGUUGUAAAGUACUUUCAGCGGGGAGGAAGGGAGUAAAGUUAAUACCUUUGCUCAUUGACGUUACCCGAAGAAGAAGCACCGGCUAACUACGUG
RNAcentral lists this ribosomal RNA (490 nucleotides) under uncultured bacterium. Its description in RNAcentral is "partial 16S ribosomal RNA". It matches the Rfam family "Bacterial small subunit ribosomal RNA", at positions 30 to 507 of the family's 1533-position model. The record is from RNAcentral.